UACGUAGGGUGCAAGCGUUGUCCGGAAUUAUUGGGCGUAAAGAGCUCGUAGGCGGUCUGUCGCGUCGGCUGUGAAAACCCGGGGCUCAACCCCGGGCCUGCAGUCGAUACGGGCAGACUAGAGUGCGGUAGGGGAGACUGGAAUUCCUGGUGUAGCGGUGAAAUGCGCAGAUAUCAGGAGGAACACCGAUGGCGAAGGCAGGUCUCUGGGCCACUACUGACGCUGAGAAGCGAAAGCGUGGGGAGCAAACAGG
Molecule: ribosomal RNA, 253 nt
Filed under: uncultured bacterium
Lineage: Bacteria
Description: partial 16S ribosomal RNA
Rfam family: Bacterial small subunit ribosomal RNA
Source: RNAcentral